GAUGAACGCUGGCGGCGUGCUUAACACAUGCAAGUCGAACGGAAAGGCUCCUGCUUGCAGGGGUACUCGAGUGGCGAACGGGUGAGUAACACGUGGGUGAUCUGCCCUGCACUUCGGGAUAAGCCUGGGAAACUGGGUCUAAUACCGGAUAGGACCACAUUUUGGAUGGUGUGGUGGAAAGUUUUUCGGUGUGGGAUGAGCUCGCGGCCUAUCAGCUUGUUGGCGGGGUAAUGGCCUACCAAGGCGUCGACGGGUAGCCGGCCUGAGAGGGUGUACGGCCACAUUGGGACUGAGAUACGGCCCAGACUCCUACGGGAGGCAGCAGUGGGGAAUAUUGCACAAUGGGCGCAAGCCUGAUGCAGCGACGCCGCGUGGGGGAUGACGGCCUUCGGGUUGUAAACUCCUUUCGCUAGGGACGAAGCGCAAGUGACGGUACCUGGAGAAGAAGCACCGGCUAACUACGUG
This 465-nucleotide ribosomal RNA is filed under the name uncultured bacterium. Its description in RNAcentral is "partial 16S ribosomal RNA". It matches the Rfam family "Bacterial small subunit ribosomal RNA", at positions 28 to 507 of the family's 1533-position model. The record is from RNAcentral.